GGGGAUGAUCGGUUUCGACGGACGUUGUCGUACCCGGGUGGCGAGCCGAGGUGCGCUCCUCGUAAAUCAGCGCGCAGCACGGAAGUGCGAAGAAGAUCAACUGGAAUGCUGUCCCGAUGGCGGCUUGAUGCCGUCGGCAGCAUCCGCAGCGAAGAUGACUGCGGCGUCGCACAUCGCCUCUCGCCGGCGGGUGAUGAUGCGGCGUGAGAAAGCCGGCGGGCGCUCCGCCGAGGCUCGUAGGCGGGUAAGCGCCGGCUGAUCGCCAAACGCACGAGCUGGCGCGUGGUGAACCCUGUCGCUGGGGGUGCCGCGCGCGAGAACGAAACAGCGACUACGCUCGUAGGCACUCGAGGACGAGGCGUUACGGACCCGGGUUCGAUUCCCGGCAUCUCCACCU
RNAcentral lists this transfer-messenger RNA (397 nucleotides) under Anaerolineae. RNAcentral describes it as "DRWP01 sp025057935 X1 Standard tmRNA". It matches the Rfam family "transfer-messenger RNA". From Rfam's summary of the family: Bacterial tmRNA, also known as 10Sa RNA or SsrA, is named for its dual tRNA and mRNA-like properties. The record is from RNAcentral. Lineage: Bacteria; Bacillati; Chloroflexota. RNAcentral also lists the same sequence under 2 other names.